RNAcentral lists this ribosomal RNA (253 nucleotides) under uncultured bacterium. RNAcentral describes it as "partial 16S ribosomal RNA". It matches the Rfam family "Bacterial small subunit ribosomal RNA", at positions 524 to 776 of the family's 1533-position model. The record is from RNAcentral.
UACGGUGGGCUCAAGCGUUAUCCGGAUUCACUGGGUUUAAAGGGUGCGUAGGAGGGCAGGUAAGUCAGUGGUGAAAUCUCCAAGCUUAACUUGGAAACUGCCGUUGAUACUAUCUGUCUUGAAUACCGUGGAGGUGAGCGGAAUAUGUCAUGUAGCGGUGAAAUGCUUAGAUAUGACAUAGAACACCAAUUGCGAAGGCAGCUCGCUACACGAAUAUUGACUCUGAGGCACGAAAGCGUGGGGAUCAAACAGG